GUGUCAGCAGCCGCGGUAAUACGUAGGUGGCAAGCGUUGUCCGGAUUUACUGGGCGUAAAGAGCGCGCAGGCGGUUGAUUAAGUCGAAUGUGAAAGCCCCCGGCUCAACUGGGGAGGGUCAUUCGAUACUGAUCGACUUGAAGGCAGGAGAGGGAAGUGGAAUUCCGGGUGUAGUGGUGAAAUGCGUAGAUAUCCGGAGGAACACCAGUGGCGAAGGCGACUUCCUGGCCUGUUCUUGACGCUGAGGCGCGAAAGCUGGGGGAGCAAACGGGAUUAGAAACCCGCGUAGUCC
This 292-nucleotide ribosomal RNA is filed under the name uncultured bacterium. RNAcentral's name for it is "partial 16S ribosomal RNA". It matches the Rfam family "Bacterial small subunit ribosomal RNA", at positions 505 to 796 of the family's 1533-position model. The record is from RNAcentral.